GACGAACGCUGGCGGCGUGCUUAACACAUGCAAGUCGAGCGGUAAGGCCCUUUCGGGGGUACACGAGCGGCGAACGGGUGAGUAACACGUGGGUGACCUGCCCUCAGCUCUGGGAUAAGCCUGGGAAACCGGGUCUAAUACUGGAUAUGACUCCAUGACGCAUGUUGUGGGGUGGAAAGCCUUGUGCGGCUGAGGAUGGGCCCGCGGCCUAUCAGCUUGUUGGUGGGGGUGAGGCCUACCAAGGCGACGAUCGGUAGCUGGUCUGAGAGGACGACCAGCCACACUGGGACUGAGACACGGCCCAGACUCCUACGGGAGGCAGCAGUGGGGAAUAUUGGACAAUGGGCGCAAGCCUGAUCCAGCGAUGCCGCGUGUGU
This 377-nucleotide ribosomal RNA is filed under the name uncultured bacterium. RNAcentral's name for it is "bacterial SSU rRNA". It matches the Rfam family "Bacterial small subunit ribosomal RNA", at positions 28 to 406 of the family's 1533-position model. The record is from RNAcentral.